GGGGCGGUCAUUUUUUUUAUUUGGUUGAGGACGCGGGCGUGCGAACAGAGAAUCACCGAUCGUUUGCAGAAGAAUAUGACAAUUAUUUUCAGUUUUGAUUGACGUCGAGCACACUGGCCACAUGCAGGAUUUGAACUCAUAAUACCAGUGUUGACAUGCUAGUGGUACAACAUUUCGAAUUCAUAGACCAGUCAAUACCGAGUUCCCUAUGUGUCGUGUAGAAAAAAUAUAUUAUUUUGAAGUUAUCAAAGGUACCA
RNAcentral lists this long non-coding RNA (257 nucleotides) under Mytilus galloprovincialis (Mediterranean mussel). Lineage: Eukaryota; Metazoa; Mollusca; Bivalvia; Mytilida; Mytilidae. The record is from RNAcentral.